Molecule: transfer RNA, 73 nt
Filed under: Candidatus Cytomitobacter indipagum
Lineage: Bacteria; Pseudomonadati; Pseudomonadota; Alphaproteobacteria; Holosporales; Holosporaceae
Description: tRNA-Lys
Rfam family: tRNA
About the family: Transfer RNA (tRNA) molecules are approximately 80 nucleotides in length. Their secondary structure includes four short double-helical elements and three loops (D, anti-codon, and T loops). Further hydrogen bonds mediate the characteristic L-shaped molecular structure. tRNAs have two regions of fundamental functional importance: the anti-codon, which is responsible for specific mRNA codon recognition, and the 3' end, to which the tRNAs corresponding amino acid is attached (by aminoacyl-tRNA synthetases). tRNAs cope with the degeneracy of the genetic code in two manners: having more than one tRNA (with a specific anti-codon) for a particular amino acid; and 'wobble' base-pairing, i.e. permitting non-standard base-pairing at the 3rd anti-codon position.
Source: RNAcentral
GGGCGCUUAGCUCAGUUGGUAGAGCACUUGACUUUUAAUCAAGGUGUCAUAGGUUCGAACCCUAUAGCGCCUG